RNAcentral lists this ribosomal RNA (76 nucleotides) under Tritrichomonas augusta. RNAcentral's name for it is "partial 28S rRNA". Lineage: Eukaryota; Parabasalia; Tritrichomonadida; Tritrichomonadidae. The record is from RNAcentral.
CCGUACGAUGACCGCAUCAGUUCUCCUAGGUGAGAACCUAUGGCCAUUAAGGUGUGGUAGUUCAGGGAAUUCGGUA